This 316-nucleotide ribosomal RNA is filed under the name Erysimum incanum. RNAcentral's name for it is "eukaryotic LSU rRNA". The record is from RNAcentral. RNAcentral also lists the same sequence under 1 other name. Lineage: Eukaryota; Viridiplantae; Streptophyta; Magnoliopsida; Brassicales; Brassicaceae.
CCAUCGAGUCUUUGAACGCAAGUUGCGCCCCAAGCCUUCUGGCCGAGGGCACGUCUGCCUGGGUGUCACAAAUCGUCGUCCCUCUUCAUCCAUUGCGGAGAUGGGACGGAAACUGGUCUCCCGUGUGUUACCGCACGCGGUUGGCCAAAAUUCGAGCCAAGGAUGCUGGGAGCGUCCCGACAUGCGGUGGUGAACUCAAAACCUUCAUACCGUCGAUCGCUCCUGUCCGAAAGCUCUAGAUGACCCAAAGUCUUCAAAGCGACCCCAGGUCAGGCGGGAUCACCCGCUGAGUUUAAGCAUAUCAAUAAGCGGAGGA